CGAGUACCGAGCUGCUGGCUGGCUCUCCGGCGCUGCAGGCGCGGAGGCGCAGCGCCUCUGGGGGCGCAGCGGGAGCCGCCCUCCCAGUGCACCGCGCACUUCCCCGGCUCGUGCUGCCCUGCGCCUCUGUACCGACCCUUUCCCGAAGUUGCAAGCCGUGCAAAUGGCCCUGUGGAGGCACUAGGCCGGGAAAAGAGGCUGCUGGAGGAAGAACGUAGGUGGGAGGUGGGCGGGCGACUUGCUUCUCAGAUUCGUCCCAAUUAGCGCCAAGUUGGCAGACAACCCUACAAACCCUUUGGUUGCCCAAAGUCACAUUCUCCGUAUUUUAAAAUAAUCUGAUAGUGAAACUUCAACUCCCCUCGUAAGUCAAAGAGGGACAGACUUUUAGCACCUCUGCCUCGCAGUAACACGACACAGAACAGACCCAGGUGAUCCUCAACUGCAGAGCUCUUCCCCAAGUUGGCAUCUCUCUGAGUCCGGCGGAGAGAAGCUGGGAUGGCCCCGCAGAGAGCCCCCUGCCGGAGGGGCGGAGGGCGUGCAGAGCGUGGCGACCGAAGCGGAUUAUUGUGGGACUGCACAAACGCAGACCCAUCCGAGGAGUUUUGCCAGGAACACCACCGCCUGCAUUGCGUCGGACCUGACCAUUUACAAUGUGAAAUUCCCGGGGAAGGUCGUGGCUAGGGACUGUGCGUGUGCGUGGCUGUGGACCAUAAGGGUGGUAGAAUUGGUGGUCGGCUUUUCUAGCAAGAGAAGGAAAAAGCUGUGCUGGCAAGGGUGGGAACUGAAUGACAACCCCCCUCUGCCAAGCCACCCCCUCAUAUUUUCCAUCUACCUCCUCGCUCCUGCCCUCCUCCGCCCUCCCCAACCCACGCCCGGGUGGGCCAAUCGCUGCUCCGCAUUCCAGGCGCUUUCUCAGGUUUCUGCUGAUCUUGCAGCGCCCAGAAAUGGACCGAGCGGACCCGCCGCCGCACGCACCCUGCCCCACUCGGAGCUCCUAACGGCUCCGGACGCGCAGCGGAGCCUCGGCGAGGUCCACGCUGGGCUACGGAAUCCGAGGGGACCCGAGAGCCAUGUAGACCCAGGCUCUUGCUCGCCCGCCUCUUUCGGGAUCGAAUCAAGGGCUCCCGUAGUGUUAGGAGGGGGCGAGAGUGCUGUUUAUCAUCAUUUGCUUCAGAGCUUCGGGAGAGGGUGGCAUUUUGCUUUUCCGCCCCGCAUCCUCCGGAACUCCCUGCACCAGAGAGAGGACAGCGUCUCUAGGUUGCUGGCAACCGGUGAGAAUGGGGGUAGGGAAUGGAUAUUUCCGCCGUAGCUGCUCAGUAAAGCGACUGUCCACCUGAACGGCCGCAGGACGAGGGGGUGAGGGCGGCGAGUUUGCCCCGGCGCCUCUCGGAUGCGGCUGCGGCGGCGGUCGCGGCUCCCGCCCCGGUACUGCAAAGGCGACCUGCCGCAUUCCGACUCGGGCUCUCCGCCGACUCAGCACCGCCCCUGCGCCAAGCCGACCGGCCAGGCUUUCUGAAAGGCGAGGAAAGACCAUUUCAAUGGAGAGUAGGAGGUAUGAGUGGCAAGAGGGAGAGAGAGAAGUGUGAUAAAUGAGAACAGUGUGUCUGACUCAGCCUCCCCUUGGCCACUAACUGUCUGUGUCACCCUGGGCAUGACCUGCCCCCUGUGGGCCUGUACUGGACACGAGAGACUUGGAUGAGGUCUCACCUAGCCUAGGCGUUCUAGAAUUAUGAGCUUCCACAAUCGAGGCAGAAGAAGAGGGAGCAAACCCUUGGGUGCUGCUUACUAUGAAUGACCAAUCUAAGAAAUCCUGAGGAUAAGAAUCGCUUUGAUAUAAUAACUAAAAUGUCCUGUCAUUCUCCUCUUGGCCUCGCUCAAAGUGUGUUUUUCUAGUUCCAAUGACUUUCAACCUUCCAUCCUGGCCUGUGGUGGGUGGCUCCUCUGUGGACAGGCUGCAUGUCCGUGCUAAAUGCCAGAGUUUCCAGAGCUAUCGGCAAGCAGGCGUUUCCUGUCGCGUGGAUGAAGCUGCAGAGGAGAAGUGAUCUGCUCAGGUCCCAAGCUAGUUGGUGGCCUGGCCCUGUGGGUGACGGUCACUGCAUCCAUCACUGAGUCCAAGCCAGGCCUGGCCGGCUGGUGUGCGUGCAGGCCCUCGUGUGCUUUGAUUUUGGGAGGAGGGCUGAGCAGAGCUGGUAUGCCUCCCAGGUGGUCCCAUGGCCAGGCAAACGUGCUCGUCCCUGGGAGCUGGCUCUCCAGAACACAGCUCCCAGGUGGCAAUGUUGCUGAGGGCAUCCCCACCGCUCUCCAUGCCGAGCCACACUGCCCCGAGGCCUUGCUCCAAGGGCACCAGAGGCAUGUGUCUUGUCUGGAGGCUGGCCCUCACUCACCCUUCACCUCUGGUGAGGACACUCAGGCCAUUAGGCCGGUACCUGUGGCCCUCCCCACCAUUCUGGGAGAAGGAGCAUCCUGGCGGUGGUCUGAAGGCCAAGGGCGCCUAGGAAACAGAAUUCCUUCUACCUGCAUCUAGCUCCUCCUUCCUCUCUUGCUGGUUGCCCCACCAGAAGCCACCUGGAACUCGGCUCAGCUCUCUAACUGGCUACAGAAUGCACAGACUGAAAGAGACUUUGAAGAUCAUCUUAAUUCCUUACCCAAGAGAAGACGCAGACCCUUCAAUGACCACAGCCUCUGAGGGCAGAGGAGGACAAGCUGUCGCCCUUGAGUGGCUGGACUCCUGUCCCUGUGGCUGCGGCUGCGCCUGCCUCUUCAGUCCUCUCCCAUUUGCAUUCUCUUCCUCUCUUCCCUCCAUCCAGGCAGAGAGUCCUCUGGCUCCCCUUGAAGAGGCAGGAGGAGGAGGGUCACAGCAUUGUCACACUCCAGAGCAAGAAUGGCUCGUGUUUCCAGGUGCCCCUGACAACUACUUGUCAAAAAUGAGCCAGCAUACCUCCAGCUCCUCCAUCCAGCCAACAUUUAUCAAGCACCUACUACGUGCUGGGCACUUCCCCCUCCUGAAAAUGCACCUGCUCACAGCAGGCCUCUGAUUCUUGUCCACGCGGGAGUGAGGUGCAGCCCCGGAAGGCAGGGCACAUGCGUGCCCCUGCCCCUCCGAGUGACGGUGCCGUGCCGGGCAAAGCUCGUGGGUGCGCCCUCCCAUGCUUCCUCCUCGGCCCCAGCUAAUUAGGCAGAAUAGUGCUGUGGCGUGCUUGCAAGUGUGAGCAGGAGAACAUUUCGGGAACUUCGAGUGCCUUGGAAAAAGGCGCAUCCGCCUGCAGAACGCUUCCUGCAAUUGCAGCAGAGGGAGGCGAAUUGUGUCGGCUUGAGCUGGUUCAGAGCAGACGCUGCUGGUAAAGAAGUGCGAUGCCUUCUCCGGGAGAGAGACGGCUGUCGCUCAGCUGGUGGAGAGGACUGGGAUCCCUGCACUCUGGCUCCGCCCACUGUGAGCCCCUAGUAGGGAGGGCGAGGUGGAGACACGGAGCGCCUCCUCCACGUGCCUCCUGGGGACACGAACCUGGCUGCCAGCACCAGAGGCAGCGGCAGAGGAGUGAGCACGCUGUGGGUUCAGGCGCCCUGCCGUCCUCUCCUCCAAGGAUCCACAGCUUUAUGGCCACGGGGCCUUCGCCUUGCAGAGCCUCACCCUAACCUAGAGGUCAUCUCCAGCUAUCAAGGGAAGACACGUACCGACAGGAGCCUUCGUAUGACUUGGCGCCUGCAUUCUGCGCAUGCGCCGAUCUCCCGUCCAUCGGGGGCUGGCUGCUCCGGCCCAGGGACGCGCCUUACUGGUGGUCCCCCCACGGGCAGAGCACCCGGCCUCCGCUGAGCCCCCCUUAGCUCCUGUUGGCUGGAAUCAAAAUGAGUAAGGGGCUGAGGAGGAAAGAAAACAGGAAAAGGCUUAGGAUUUAUCCCGUAGAAAAACUACGUUAGUCCUUACAGAAAACUUUGAAAAGGAGCAGAGUUUACAUCAUCUUUUUCGGCCUGCAGUCUUAUUUUUUUCCCAUGCCCUGCCCUUUCCCAGGCCCGAGGGGAGCAGGCUAACUCAUCCCUUGGAGAGCUGGGUGGAGGGUGGUGGAGUCGCUGCCCCACUGCUGGUGUUCGUCAACCCUGGAGUUCCAUUGCCGCCUCCACACCGCCAGAGUUUGCUCCUUCUCCAAAGCCCUGGGCUCCUCAUGAUGGGCUUCCUCACGAUGGGCGGUCUCAGGGGUAGGGGUGGGAAUGGCCGAAACGUUGAAGCCAGGCCGGCCUGUGUUUGAGUCUCGGCUCAGUCACAUACCAGCCAUGUGACUUUGGGCAAGCUAACCACUCAGUCCCCUCAUCUGCAAACUUGGAAUAAUAGGACCCACCUCCCGGAAGUACCUUGAGGAUCAACUGAGAUGAGGCGCAUUAACAAGCACCCAGGACCACAAUCGGCCUUCACCUCAAACACACCCAUGCGCUCACGGAAGACACUCCUCCUCUCUCUCAGCCCCUCCGAGCGGCUUCUACUCGUCAGCAGUCUUCCGGUUUGCAACAUCUGCCUUCUUUACUUUGGGGAGUGGGGUGCAGGAAGCGGGCGCCACGCCUGUCUCCCCAAAGGUGACAUUGCUUGGGAUCAGAACAUAGAGGUGCUCCGAGCCCUCAGUUUGGGGCUCCCCACCACAGGGGCAGCGGAGGAAGGGAGGCCGACUCCAGUUCCACUCCUUGCACCCCGGGUGAGGCCACAGGGCUUGCGUUUUCUGCCCUUCUCCGCCUGGUUCCUCUGUCGCACUCUCUGAAGUAGACCAUCUGGGCAGAGCCAUUCACAGUCCUGCUCCGCGGGGAAGCCCGAGGUGCCUCUGCGGCCGAACAGUGGGCUCACAGCCCGGGCUGAAUCCUCGGGACGCGCCAGCCCUCUAGUGGCCCGAUGGGGAAAGGCAUGCGCAGCCCGGGGCUAAACUGGCCGGUCAAGGAAACAUGAGUUGCUGCGGAUGACGGGGUGUGUGGUCACCUGGAGACUCAGCAGCACCACGCGGCAGAAACCCAAACAGGCCAAGACGUGAAGGUCAUCCCUUGGACACACUCCAGACCUCAGAUUUGGGGUUUCACUCACCCAUUCGUUUGUUCAUUCAUUCCACAAAUAUCUAUGGGGUGGCUACUGUGAGGGGUGGGGUGUGGAGACACAACGGUGAUCAGGACAGGCAAGUCUACCCGGUCACGGAGUGUUUAUUCUCGCGCGUGGGGUGUUUGUUGGGCGUGGGUGGGGGUCUUCUCAACCCUCCCCUUGCCUCAGAGUCAAAAUUCAGCAGACACCAACCAGGCACCUAAUUCAUGCCAGGAUCUCUGAAAUCUGUUCCUUUGUGAAAAGGUCUCAGCAAUUAAAUGACACAAUAUAAUAGAAGGAGCUCUGAGCAGAUAGUCAGUUGGACUGGGUUUGGAUCCUGGUUCCUCCACUUACUAGCCGUGUGACCUUGGACCCAUCGUGUGAACACCCAGCAGGGCCUGUUACUGUCCAGCAGUGUGCCGGGAGCUCGUGAACCAGCGAUGGACUGGAGCACACUGUCCUCGGGCUCUCCAGGAGUGAUGUGGGCACAGGAACAUCCACCUGAGCUGUGGCCACACAUGCUGAUGUGCCUUUCAUCUGGCGUGUGGAAGGAGCGGUCAGACUCUUGCUGCUUUAUCAUUAAAAGGAGGAAAUCAACUGAUGAAAAUGAAUUUCAUACAAUUUAUUCAGCUUCACUGUGUGCCAGUGUUUCAGUUAUCUGUUGCUGUGUAACAAACCAGCCCAAAAUUUAGGAGCUUAAGACAACAGUUUUUUAUUUCUCAUGAUUUCUGUGGCUUGACUGGGCUCCAGUGGGUGGGCAGCUUUUCUGCUGGGGCUGGAAUGUCCAAAAUGGCUUCUUCACACACACGUCUGGCACCUCCUCUGGGAUGGCGGGACCAGUUUUUGGGGAGAGGAGUGCUGACCAGGUGUCUCUCUGCAAAAGGUGUCUCCAACAGGGCACCUAGUUCUCUUCUAGGGUGGCUCAGGGCUCCAAGAGCUCCAAGAGUCUAUGAAAGGCUAAGCCCCAACACGCAAGCACUUAUCGAAACUCUGGUCACAUUGCUUUUGACAAAGGAAGUCACAUGGCCAAGCGCAGGGUCAAUGCAGCAGGGAACCGCAUGAGGGUGUGAAUUACGAGAGGCGUGUUCACUGGGACCUCCCGUGUAAGUGUCUUCAACAGCCAGCCAGGGUCCUGACGUGAGGAGCCCUUGCUAACGCUGUGUGGCUGUGUCCCCAGUAGAUUUGGGAAUCAGGAUGCUUGUUGCUGCUGCUCUCCUACCCAGGAAUGACUUUUAAUUGGGAAAUUCUAACGCUCCUGUAGCCUGGCGUGGCAGGGGAUGAUAGACAAGAGGUCUAUGAAGUCUUUCUUGGUCUUGAGUACAGGCUCUAAAGGCUGACCAAACACCCCUCCCCGCCAGCUUGAGGACUGGCGACUCCUCAGUAGUUCUCUGCUUCAUUUCUCUGAGUGGGAGCCAUCCCAGCAGAGGCUGUCCGCACAUACAAGGAGCACCGUAAACUUCCGCCGUUAUUUCUCCUUUCCUACAUGUCAUCGGUGAGAGAACGAUGGCGUCGCAGGAGUAAAGCAUAAUGGCGCUAGGGUGUGAUGGUGAACACAUCGAAUUUUGGAGCUGGGCUCCAGAUACAAGGUCCAAAAAACAAUUUCCAGCUGUCAAGUCUUGGCUGUUUGUUCCAUUUUUAUCUCCAGCAUAGAGGUUUGGGUCAAUCAUACUCCUCAGGUCAUUAAACUGGUCUGUCCUCUUUUAUUAUUUAUGUGUGUAUGUAUUUAUUUAUUCAUUCUCUUUGAUUGCCAUCCCCACGCCUCACCCCCACUGGCAAGCAGUCCGCUGUACUUCAUGUCUAUCCUCCUGUUUGCAUGCAUUCUUCUGAGCAGUGCAUUCCUCUCUUGUGCACAUACAUGUUUAAUGUACAUAAAUGGGGUUUGGUUAUAAAUCUAAUUUUGCGUUUUACUUUUUUCCUAGUAUGUGGUCUUUAGGUCCAUCCGUGUCGCUCCAUAUUCUUCUCGAUUGCUGUUCCGUGCGGGCCCUCCCCCAGCGCCUUUCUCCGUUCUGCUGUUUUACGGGGCCUUCUCCCAGGGGUGGGCUCCUGCAUUGCCUCAGCUCCCGCCCCACAAAUAUCACAGCUGGGGGCCUCCUCAGCAGACUUUGUGAGAAUUUCUUUGGGCUGUCUGUGCAGGAGCAGAAGUGAUGGUGUGCGGGGGAUGUGUGUAACACAGCGACUUGGUAGUGUUUUUCUCACCUCACCAGCCACCGUGGCUCUCCUCCCAGGGACAGUGCCCCAGGGCAGACCCUGACUUCCCAGGCCAGCCCAGCGUUAGCCGUAGGUAGAAGAUGCAGACACAGCCCCUGCUCGCCAAGUUCCUGUGACAUAUUCCUCCCUGCAUCCCUGGGACAGGGCCUCUGUGGACUUGGGUUUUCUGACCACCCUCACGCGGUCUGACUGAGCCCCUGGAGCCCCAGGCCACAUCUCCCCUCCUUGGCCCCUGUGCCCCGUCCACCUGCCCUCCUCAGCUAUGUGUCAACAAGUCCAUGUCAUGGCAAAUGCACCAAAACUAUUGGGAAGUGGAUCUUCUCACAGACAGGAGCUUGAUGAAGAUGAGGAUCCGACCUGCCCUGGUUACACGGCGCCCUCAGGUGAGCCAGGCCGAGAUCACCUGUUUUAGACACUUCCCUUCACGGGAAAAGAUGCUGAAACCCAGAAAAAUGAUCUCAAGACUGGGUAAUGGGUAAUGAGAGGCAAAGUCGAGGCCGGAACCCAGGAGCCUGGUCGUCCAGUCCCAGCCCCCCUCCCUCCACACCACUGCCUAGUUCCUCCUCCACUGUGGGGACCCCAGACCCACAGACAGCCCCCCCACUCUGUCCCAUGAGGUUGAACCCCUUCCUUUCCCGGCUCAGUCUUAAGAAAGAUGCAGAAAUACUAAACUGGCUUUGUUGGUGGCUCCCCUUCCCUUUCCAAUUCAAUCAAAUCAAACAAGAAUAAAUAAAAUAGAGAAGGAGGAGAGAAUAGCAAUCAGAACUGUUUCUCAAUAGUGAAAAGUCAGCAGUGGAAUGAGGGAAUAAUGUCCUGUAAGAAUUCUAGGCCAGUGGGUGUUUCCCCUGCUUUCCAGAUGGAGAAACAGAAUCAGAGAAGCACCAAGGGGGGACAGGGAAGAAAUCUGGCCAUUCUUUAGCCAAUAGGUCUCAAACUGCCUGUCCGUAUGGUUCCAUGUUGUCCCGUCCAUAAGUCACCAAAGUGGGUUUGGAUUCUUUGUCUCCUCCUUGUGGCUCAAAGCAUCAUUCUUAAUACCCUCAUAUUAUGCCUUUAUUCUUUCGUCCAACGUUCCCUGAGGCUCAUAAUAAUAGUGGUAGCUCCAGAAACAUUCAAAUAACGUGUAUACAACACUGUCAAAGUGACAAAGUCGAACAUAAAGAUUGAUGAGAAAUGUUAAAUGUUAAUUCUGGACAAGUGAUUACUUGGGUGGAACGACAGGAUUUGAAGAAGAGGGAGAGAGUUGUGCUAAUAAAGAAACAAGGAUUUCAUUGGACCAGUUGAAGGUCCUUCUCCCUGGACGGCCUCCUGCUCCACGUGGCAGCAUGCUGGGGCGCCCCAGAACCUUCCCUCAUGAGUUCCAACAGGCUGGGGGAGAAGGGCCCCCCACAGCUGCCAGCUGACUUGGUUACCCACUCAAUGGGAGAAGUGUCAGAGAGGGUGAGUGCUUUCUUUGUGCCAGUUUUGUGAACGGUCCAAAGAACCCUUUGAAGGGAAUAUGACACAUACACACCCAGGAGUCUGUCUGCUUCUGUUCCCAGGGCUGUGCCAGGAACCGACAGCAUCCCCGGUCCUGCAAGUCCAGCACUUGGCAGCUCCCAGCCCACCCCGUGCUUUGAGCUCAGGGAACGUUUUCUUAUUUUUGAAUUCACAUACUAUAAAAUUCACCCUUUUAAAAAUGUGCAAUUCAGUAGUUUUUAGCUUAUUCAUAGAGUUACAUGACCAUCGUCACAAUCCAAUUCCAGAAAAAUUUUCAUUGCCUCAAAAAGAAACCUCACGCCCAUUAGCAGUCACUCUCAAUUUCCUCCCUUCUUCUGCCCCCAGCCCCUGGCAGCCACUGAUGCGUCUACCUGUGCUGGGCACUCAUGUGAACGGGUCAGACAACAUGUGGCCUUUUGUGACUGUCUUUUUUUACUUAGCAUAAUGUUUUCAGGGUUCGUCUGUGUUGUAGGAUGAAUGAAUACUUCAUUUUUAUAGCUGAAUAAUAUUCCACUGUGUGGAUGUGGCACGUUUUAUUUAUCCGUGCAUCAGUUGAUACAGUCAGGGUGGAGGUUAGUACUAAUCUGAGCCGAACUUGAAACCUAAAAACAGUCUGCAGCUUUUUCCAUUUCCUGAUCGGGUGGCUGAUGUGACAAAAUUAGAGAUUUAGGACGAUGACCGGGCGCACCUGUGCAGAUAAGAUCUGCUGUGAGGCAGAAAGAGGGGGCGAUGGAAUUGGGAGCUUCCUUCUCCUAAAGAGGAGGAAAAGUCAAGGUCACCUAGGGAAUCUUUGUGCCAGAAGCAAACCUGAACUCCCUCUGUCUCCAGCUCUGACCAUAAAGCCAUAAAGCCACAGGUUUAACCGCAAGGCUUAUUCUGGGGGUGACAGCCCCGCGGUGGUUUCAGCUUUGUCUCAUAUUUCUCCUGGAGCUCCAUUGCACACCAGCCUGCCACACGCCUUCCUGGAAUGCACGUGACUGAUAACGGCCUCUUGCACCAUUAUCUGCCAAACCCUGUUAAUGAAAUGAGUGAUUUAGUUAUCCUUGUUAGCAAUGGCCCCCACUGUACAACGACCGUGAGUGCAUGCGCAAGGCUGGCAGGGAUGCCCUCCUGGGGCACCUGUGAGCCAUCCUUACCAUGAGCUCUGUCGGCUCAGCUGGAUUGGGAGAGGGGGGCUGCCCAAGGUCAUGCGGGUGCAGCCUGUGCCCUGCACACCCCACGAUGCAUCAGAGCUGGGAGCAUCUGGGGAAACAAGAAACGAGGCCAGAGCACGGCUCCAUUUGCCAACUCUGACCUGCAAAGCUGGAUGCUGCCUUCUCUCAGCACAAGGAAGGGACACACUGAAGGAUCAUGGUGACACGUGAGGGUCACUCAGGCCCAGGCAGACCAUUUGUCUGUGGUGUUGGGUUUCUGGGCUGGUGCCUCCUCUCUCUUCCAGUGGUGGCUGUCCAGCCCUGAGUCCCUAUUUCCUCUGGUCCAGUCUUCUUGCAUUUCUCACACUCGCUGUUUCUCAAGGAAAGCAGGGAGGAUGGGAGAAAGAAGAUAGAAAGGGGUGUGGUUGGGGCAGGUAGGGCUGAUCAAGGCCAGUACAGGCAGAGAUAUGGAAAGUUACUUGGAGCACAUCAUGUUCAGUGCACACACGUGUGGACACCUGCACACACACGCAUGUACACAUUUUCUCCUCAUCUUGUCUUCAGGAAUGUUCUAUUCAGGAGUGAGGUCCUCAGGUUCGGAACUAGUUGCCCAGAGUUGCGACUGAGAAAUGUGCCUCAGCGUAAAGGGACAAGACUCACGUAUUGUUAAGGGGCUGUUGUGAAACGAGCAGAACCAAGUGGUCAGCCCCCUGUUCACCAGGGAGCCAGGUGUCGGACGCGUGCAGGUGACAGUGGGUGUACACUGGCCUGACUCCGGCCCCCACUUAAUCCUCAGCUGUGUCUGACAGAGGCUCUAGAAAUGCUUGCAGAUGUAGAGAUUGAUUUUGACAGCCCCCUGAAUGCUCCUCUCUAAAAACUUUGAGGCAGCUUACAGCACUAAUAAUGAAACAGAAGGGUGAACUAAUUUCUGUGAGAGCAGCAUAGUGUGUGCAGAGCAGAAUGAAAUCGAGGGAGGAUCAGUGCCUGCCGGGCUCUCCCUUGGGGCUGGAGUAGCUGCACACCAGACCCUGAGGGGUACAGCCCUUCCCACUCCCCAGAGGGGAAAGGGAUGCCUGGGUCCUGGGAAGGAGGUGACGAGGUGCCUUUGAUAGCACCCUGCAGGGGAGAAGGAAAAGUCCUGGACCUGCUUCUCGGGGGUCCCUCCCAGAAGAUGGGGCAAUGCCAGCACGACCAUCAGUGUAAGAUCCAGACCAAGUACUGUGGCCUGUCAUCCAGCUUGAGCUGGGGAGAGAAUUCCGUUAUCUACUGCAGUCAUUUUCAAAGUUCUGUAAAAGGCAGUGGUGCUCUUCUCUUCCCGUAAAAUCUUGUGCAAGCUCCCCUGAGGGGCAGGGGGAAGAGAGAGAAGGAGGAGGAGGCAGGGAGGGAGGGGGAGAGAGAGAGAGAAAGGAGAGAACCUUCCUCCGUUCAAAUGACAGUGGGACCUGGCCAUUUCCCCGUGGCCUCUCUCUCUCCACACACAUGCGGCUGAGCACCUCUGCUCUGAAUCCCAAGGGUUGGAAAAGCCCCAUCUGAUCUAAGAGAACGGAUCCAUACCAGGAGGGAAAGAGGGCGGGAAGGGGAGAGGGAGAGAGGAAGAAAGAGGG
This is a long non-coding RNA of Equus caballus (horse), 11468 nucleotides long. The record is from Ensembl. NCBI's taxonomy places the organism in Eukaryota, Metazoa, Chordata, Mammalia, Perissodactyla, Equidae.